RNAcentral lists this ribosomal RNA (460 nucleotides) under uncultured bacterium. RNAcentral's name for it is "partial 16S ribosomal RNA". It matches the Rfam family "Bacterial small subunit ribosomal RNA", at positions 338 to 795 of the family's 1533-position model. The record is from RNAcentral.
CCUACGGGUGGCAGCAGUGAGGAAUAUUGGUCAAUGGACGAGAGUCUGAACCAGCCAAGUAGCGUGAAGGAUGACUGCCCUAUGGGUUGUAAACUUCUUUUAUAUGGGAAUAAAAUGUUCCACGUGUGGGAUUUUGUAUGUACCAUAUGAAUAAGGAUCGGCUAACUCCGUGCCAGCAGCCGCGGUAAUACGGAGGAUCCGAGCGUUAUCCGGAUUUAUUGGGUUUAAAGGGAGCGUAGGUGGAUUGUUAAGUCAGUUGUGAAAGUUUGCGGCUCAACCGUAAAAUUGCAGUUGAAACUGGCAGUCGUGAGUACAGUAGAGGUGUGCGGAAUGCGUGGUGUAGCGGUGAAAUGCUUAGAUAUCACGAAGAACUCCGAGUGCGAAGGCAGCUCACUGGACUGCAACUGACACUGAGGCUCGAAAGUGUGGGUAUCAAACAGGAUUAGAUACCCCUGUAGUC